GAUGAACGCUGGCGGCGUGCCUAAUACAUGCAAGUCGAGCGAACAGACGAGGAGCUUGCUCCUCUGACGUUAGCGGCGGACGGGUGAGUAACACGUGGAUAACCUACCUAUAAGACUGGGAUAACUUCGGGAAACCGGAGCUAAUACCGGAUAAUAUAUUGAACCGCAUGGUUCAAUAGUGAAAGACGGUUUUGCUGUCACUUAUAGAUGGAUCCGCGCCGCAUUAGCUAGUUGGUAAGGUAACGGCUUACCAAGGCAACGAUGCGUAGCCGACCUGAGAGGGAGAUGGCCCACCCGGAACCUGAGCACGGACCAACCCCCCACGGGGGGGAGACGGGAGGGAAUCUCCGGAAAGGGCAGAAAGCCGGACGGAGCACCGCGGGGGGGGAGAGAAAGUUUUUGGGUUCGAAAAACUUUUUUAUAGGAGAAAAAAAAAUUUGAAAGAAAUUUUGCACGUUUGAAGGGUACCUAACCAAAAGGCCGGGGAUAACUCCGUC
RNAcentral lists this ribosomal RNA (497 nucleotides) under uncultured bacterium. RNAcentral describes it as "partial 16S ribosomal RNA". It matches the Rfam family "Bacterial small subunit ribosomal RNA", at positions 28 to 507 of the family's 1533-position model. The record is from RNAcentral.